CUGCGGCCAUAUCAUGUUGAAAUACCGGUUCUCAUACGAUCACCUAAGUUAAGCAACGUCGAGCCUGUUAAGUACCUAGAUGGGUGAUCGCUUGGGAAUACCAGGUGCUGUAAG
This 114-nucleotide ribosomal RNA is filed under the name Acanthosepion pharaonis. The record is from RNAcentral. Lineage: Eukaryota; Metazoa; Mollusca; Cephalopoda; Sepiida; Sepiidae.